UACGAAGGGGGCUAGCGUUGCUCGGAAUUACUGGGCGUAAAGGGCGCGUAGGCGGAUAGUUUAGUCAGAGGUGAAAGCCCAGGGCUCAACCUUGGAAUUGCCUUUGAUACUGGCUGUCUUGAGUACGGGAGAGGUGAGUGGAACUGCGAGUGUAGAGGUGAAAUUCGUAGAUAUUCGCAAGAACACCAGUGGCGAAGGCGGCUCACUGGCCCGGUACUGACGCUGAGGUGCGAAAGCGUGGGGAGCAAACAGG
RNAcentral lists this ribosomal RNA (253 nucleotides) under uncultured bacterium. RNAcentral describes it as "partial 16S ribosomal RNA". It matches the Rfam family "Bacterial small subunit ribosomal RNA", at positions 524 to 776 of the family's 1533-position model. The record is from RNAcentral.